CGAGAUAUAAUCUGUUUCAUUUAAAAUUUAGUUAGAAUUUUAUUUUUUAGUUAAAAAGCUAAAAUAUAUUCAAAAGACGAGAAGACCCUAUAAAUCUUGAUUAUUUAGUAAUUUUUAGUUUAUUUUGAUUUUUUUUAUUAUAAAUUUAUUAAUUAAUUUUAUUGGGGGGAUAUUAAAAUUUAAAUAACUUUUAAUAAUUUUUAUCAUUUAUUUAUGAUUAAGUGAUCCAUUAUUAGUGAUUAGAAAAUUAAGUUACUUUAGGGAUAACAGCGUAAUUUUUUUGGAGAGUUCUUAUCGAUAAAAAAGUUUGCGACCUCGAUGUUGGAUUAAGAUUCAUAUUUAAAUGUAGAAGUUUAAAUAUAAAGUCUGUUCGACUUUUUAUUCUUACAUGAUCUGAGUUCAAACCGGUGUAAGCCAGGUUGGUUUCUAUCUUUGAUUUGGUAAAAUAUUUUAGUACGAAAGGAAUUAAUAUUUAU
RNAcentral lists this ribosomal RNA (476 nucleotides) under Teleopsis dalmanni. RNAcentral describes it as "partial 16S ribosomal RNA". The stretch from base 263 to 421 matches the Rfam family "Bacterial large subunit ribosomal RNA", at positions 2473 to 2632 of the family's 2925-position model. Lineage: Eukaryota; Metazoa; Arthropoda; Insecta; Diptera; Diopsidae. The record is from RNAcentral.